CCUACGCGAGGCAGCAGUGGGGAAUAUUGCACAAUGGGGGAAACCCUGAUGCAGCGACGCCGCGUGAGCGAUGAAGUAUUUCGGUAUGUAAAGCUCUAUCAGCAGGGAAGAAAAUGACGGUACCUGACUAAGAAGCACCGGCUAACUACGUGCCAGCAGCCGCGGUAAUACGUAGGGGGCAAGCGCUAUCCGGAUUUACUGGGUGUAAAGGGAGCGUAGACGGCUGUGCAAGCCAGAUGUGAAAGCCCGGGGCUCAAACCCGGGACUGCAUUUGGAACUGUGUGGCUGGAGUGUCGGAGAGGCAGGCGGAAUUCCUGGUGUAGCGGUGAAAUGCGUAGAUAUUAGGAGGAACACCAGUGGCGAAGGCGGCCUGCUGGACGAUGACUGACGCUGAGGUUCGAAAGCGUGGGUAGCAAACAGGAUUAGAUACCCGAGUAGUC
This 440-nucleotide ribosomal RNA is filed under the name uncultured bacterium. Its description in RNAcentral is "partial 16S ribosomal RNA". It matches the Rfam family "Bacterial small subunit ribosomal RNA", at positions 338 to 795 of the family's 1533-position model. The record is from RNAcentral.